GAUGAACGCUAGCGGCAGGCCUAACACAUGCAAGUCGAGGGAGAGGUUAUCUUCGGGUAACCAAAACCGGCGCACGGGUGCGUAACGCGUAUACAAUCUGCCUUUCACAUAGGGAUAGCCCGAAGAAAUUUGGAUUAAUACCUAAUGGUAUAUAAGAGCGGCACCGUUUUUAUAUUAAAGCUACGGUGGUGAAAGAUGAGUAUGCGUUCUAUUAGCUAGUUGGAGAGGUAACGGCUCCCCAAGGCGACGAUAGAUAGGGGUUCUGAGAGGGAUGUCCCCCACACUGGUACUGAGAUACGGACCAGACUCCUACGGGAGGCAGCAGUGAGGAAUAUUGGACAAUGGUCGGAAGACUGAUCCAGCCAUGCCGCGUGCAGGAUGAAGGUCCUAUGGAUUGUAAACUGCUUUUGUAAGGGAAGAAUAAGGAGUACGUGUACUUUGAUGACGGUACCUUACGAAUAAGCAUCGGCUAACUCCGUGCCAGCAGCCGCGGUAAUACGGAGGAUGCGAGCGUUAUCCGGAAUCAUUGGGUUUAAAGGGUCCGUAGGCGGGCUGAUAAGUCAGAGGUGAAAGCGCUUAGCUCAACUAAGCAACUGCCUUUGAAACUGUCAGUCUUGAAUGAUUGUGAAGUAGUUGGAAUGUGUAGUGUAGCGGUGAAAUGCUUAGAUAUUACACAGAACACCGAUAGCGAAGGCAUAUUACUAACAAUUUAUUGACGCUGAUGGACGAAAGCGUGGGGAGCGAACAGG
RNAcentral lists this ribosomal RNA (749 nucleotides) under uncultured Capnocytophaga sp. RNAcentral's name for it is "bacterial SSU rRNA". It matches the Rfam family "Bacterial small subunit ribosomal RNA", at positions 28 to 776 of the family's 1533-position model. The record is from RNAcentral. Lineage: Bacteria; Pseudomonadati; Bacteroidota; Flavobacteriia; Flavobacteriales; Flavobacteriaceae.